UGACAUGGGUAUAGGUAUGAUGGGUGCAGGUGUGAUAGUACAGGUGUGAUGGGUAUAGGUGUGCCAGGUGUGAUGGGUACAGGUGUGAACAGGUGUGCUGGGCACAGGUGUGACGGACACCACAGG
RNAcentral lists this long non-coding RNA (126 nucleotides) under Lonchura striata (white-rumped munia). RNAcentral's name for it is "domestica (Bengalese finch) lncRNA (ENSLSDG00000006474.1)". The record is from RNAcentral. Lineage: Eukaryota; Metazoa; Chordata; Aves; Passeriformes; Estrildidae.